This 95-nucleotide microRNA precursor is filed under the name Nicotiana tabacum (common tobacco). Lineage: Eukaryota; Viridiplantae; Streptophyta; Magnoliopsida; Solanales; Solanaceae. The record is from RNAcentral.
AUACACGAGAUAUUGGUGCGGUUCAAUGAGAAAGCAGUACUCGACAAAUUUUGACUCUACUUUUUGAUUGAGCCGUGCCAAUAUCACGUGUAGCA